Molecule: long non-coding RNA, 319 nt
Filed under: Mytilus galloprovincialis (Mediterranean mussel)
Lineage: Eukaryota; Metazoa; Mollusca; Bivalvia; Mytilida; Mytilidae
Source: RNAcentral
CUAUUAUCUUGAAUAUUAUUAUAGAUAGAGAUAAACUGUAAACAGCAAUAAUGUUCAGCAAAGUAAGAUUUACAAAUAAGUCAACAUGACCAAAAUGGUCAGUUGACCCCUUUAGGAGUUAUUGACCUUUAUAGUCAAUUUUUAACCAUUUUUCGUAAAUCUUAGUAAUCUUUUACAAAAAUCUUCUCCUCUGAAACUACUGGGCCAAAUUAAUCGAAACUUGGCCACAAUCAUCUUUGGGAUAUUUAGUUUUAAAAAUGUGUGGCGUGACCCGGCCAACCAACCAAGAUGGCCGCCAUGGCUAAAAAUAGAACAUAGG